CCUACGGGAGGCAGCAGUGGGGAAUAUUGCACAAUGGGCGAAAGCCUGAUGCAGCGACGCCGCGUGAGGGAUGACGGCCUUCGGGUUGUAAACCUCUUUCAGCAGGGAAGAAGCGAAAGUGACGGUACCUGCAGAAGAAGCGCCGGCUAACUACGUGCCAGCAGCCGCGGUAAUACGUAGGGCGCAAGCGUUGUCCGGAAUUAUUGGGCGUAAAGAGCUCGUAGGCGGCUUGUCACGUCGGUUGUGAAAGCCCGGGGCUUAACCCCGGGUCUGCAGUCGAUACGGGCAGGCUAGAGUGUGGUAGGGGAGAUCGGAAUUCCUGGUGUAGCGGUGAAAUGCGCAGAUAUCAGGAGGAACACCGGUGGCGAAGGCGGAUCUCUGGGCCAUUACUGACGCUGAGGAGCGAAAGCGUGGGGAGCGAACAGGAUUAGAUACCCUGGUAGUCCACGCCGUAAACGGUGGGAACUAGGUGUUGGCGACAUUCCACGUCGUCGGUGCCGCNGCUACGCAUAGUUACCCGUCCGUGGGAGGUACGGCCGCGAGACGUAAACGUACGAAAGAAGUUAAGUACGGCGUUGAGACGUUGCGAACGGCGACGACGAGGGAGGAGG
This 611-nucleotide ribosomal RNA is filed under the name uncultured bacterium. RNAcentral describes it as "bacterial SSU rRNA". The stretch from base 1 to 522 matches the Rfam family "Bacterial small subunit ribosomal RNA", at positions 338 to 873 of the family's 1533-position model. The record is from RNAcentral.